RNAcentral lists this ribosomal RNA (305 nucleotides) under uncultured bacterium. RNAcentral's name for it is "bacterial SSU rRNA". It matches the Rfam family "Bacterial small subunit ribosomal RNA", at positions 335 to 632 of the family's 1533-position model. The record is from RNAcentral.
CUUCCUACGGGGGGCAGCAGUAGGGAAUCUUCCACAAUGGACGAAAGUCUGAUGGAGCAACGCCGCGUGAGUGAAGAAGGGUUUCGGCUCGUAAAGCUCUGUUGGUAGUGAAGAAAGAUAGAGGUAGUAACUGGCCUUUAUUUGACGGUAAUUACUUAGAAAGUCACGGCUAACUACGUGCCAGCAGCCGCGGUAAUACGUAGGUGGCAAGCGUUGUCCGGAUUUAUUGGGCGUAAAGCGAGUGCAGGCGGUUCAAUAAGGCUUAUGUGGAAACCUUCUGCUCAACCGGAGAAAUUCAUCAGCAA